CUGCCUGCCUCCUGCAGUACGGGAGGCUGCGAGCCGCCGCGCCGGGCCGGGCCCCGGCAGGUGGGCGAGCCGUGCCGAACCGGGGCUGCUGCGGGGUCUUCAACAUGGCUGGCACUGACACAGCUACCUUCCUGCAUGCGGCUCAGUGCGACGUAAAUAAUUGGUUCCGGCCAAUAACAAACCUUCAUCUCGAUUUCAUUGGCUUGUAUCUUGGGCAACACAAGAGACAUUCUCUAAUGCCUCAAAAUAUCCCUACUGGAUAAUGUAAGUAGACCACCAAAUUAGUCCUAUUAAGCUUUUUAACCUUUCAAAUUUAAAACCCAAGAAUUUGAACACUGCCCACAAACAGAACCAAACAUGCUCAAAUGUUUUUGCUGUAUGUCAUUUUUCCAUGUUAUCAUGCACUUAAACUAAAAUGUUGUGAUCUCUAUGGGUUAUUGCUGUUUACUACUGUCAC
This 457-nucleotide long non-coding RNA is filed under the name Catharus ustulatus (Swainson's thrush). RNAcentral describes it as "lncRNA (ENSCUSG00005005106.1)". Lineage: Eukaryota; Metazoa; Chordata; Aves; Passeriformes; Turdidae. The record is from RNAcentral.